GAUCAAGCGACUAAGUGCAUAUGGUGGAUGCCUUGGCGAUCACAGGCGAUGAAGGACGUAGUAGCCUGCGAAAAGCUACGGGGAGCUGGCAAACAAGCUUUGAUCCGUAGAUGUCCGAAUGGGGAAACCCACUCCGCAAGGAGUAUCCCUGGCUGAAUACAUAGGCCAGUGGAAGCGAACCGGGUGAACUGAAACAUCUCAGUAGCUCGAGGAAAAGAAAUCAACCGAGAUUCCGAAAGUAGUGGCGAGCGAAAUCGGAAGAGCCUUUACGUUUUAGCA
Molecule: ribosomal RNA, 279 nt
Filed under: Achromobacter aegrifaciens
Lineage: Bacteria; Pseudomonadati; Pseudomonadota; Betaproteobacteria; Burkholderiales; Alcaligenaceae
Description: partial 23S ribosomal RNA
Rfam family: Bacterial large subunit ribosomal RNA
Source: RNAcentral